Molecule: unclassified non-coding RNA, 1118 nt
Filed under: Leishmania donovani
Lineage: Eukaryota; Euglenozoa; Kinetoplastea; Trypanosomatida; Trypanosomatidae
Description: gene:LdHU3.25.0030(CDS-product:n-inal_acetyltrans ferase_complex_ard1_subunit_homolog_putative)
Source: RNAcentral
GUAAACGUUAACAGGGCGGCGUUGCUGCAGGGCGACCGCCGACGUGCGAUGACUACAUAUCGCCGCAUGACGCUAUGCGACACGCUGCAGUUUAAUUUUGUAAAUUUGGAUCAACUAACAGAGACGUACAAUACGUCCUUCUAUGGCGAGUAUGUGACGCACUGGCCGGAGUACCAGCGCAUGUGCGUGCACCCAACCACCGGUAUUCCCAUGGCCUACACCCUCGGCAAAGCGGAAGGACAGGGGGAGGACUAUCACGGACACGUGUCCGCCGUUUCCGUGGCGCCAACGUUUCGGCGCGUCGCCCUCGGCGAGACCCUCAUGGCCGAGUUGGCGCAGAUGAGCGAGCUCGUGCACAAUGCCUACUUUGUGGACCUCUUCGUCCGCAAAAGUAACCAGGUUGCGCAGGACAUGUACCAUCGACUGGGCUACAUUGUCUACCGGACGGUGCUAAACUACUAUCACGGCGACGGCCCCAAAGGCCCCUUCAAGAGUGAUGAGGACGCACUGGACAUGCGGCUUGCCCUGCGGCGUGACAAGGAGCGGCGAAAAAGUAGCGUCAUUCCCCUAGACCGACCCAUCAAACCCGAAGAACUGGAGUGGGUGUGAGUACUCGGGUGUCGCACACACUGUAAAACGCCCCCGCCGGCUCUGUCACGCAAGAAACGAGAGCAAAAAGACCGGUAGACUAUAUCACGCACAAUCACCGCGUGUGCGUCUCCCUGGGUGAAGACACCCAUCGCACCCUUCGACAGCCGCCCUUAUGCCUAUUCACCGUCUGUAGAACACACAAGAGGAAUAGCCCGGUGCCGCGUGCAAGACUGCGGCUUCUGCACGCACUAUGCUCGUUUCCGCCUCUCUCUCUUUGUGCGCGUGUGUGUGUGUGUGUCGGAGUGGCCCUCCCGUUACGUCUUUUGGGGGUGGGUGAUAGCGGCAGAUGCUGCUUCGACCUUGUGCGCCGCACCGGUGCCGUUGGCUACACUGCGGAAGGCAACACAGAACACACCCUGUGCCAUUUCUUCUUUUUUUUUUGCUUUCACCCACCUUUUCCCCGUGCUUCCCCAUCUUUCCCCCUCUUUCCCUAACGUACAUUGCACCUCUCCUUAUCGUGCAGUCAC